This 861-nucleotide long non-coding RNA is filed under the name Prunus persica (peach). RNAcentral describes it as "long non-coding RNA (PPER_LNC007234)". The record is from RNAcentral. Lineage: Eukaryota; Viridiplantae; Streptophyta; Magnoliopsida; Rosales; Rosaceae.
CGAAACUCGAACUUAGACCUGAAUAGUGAAGAGAACGAAUCUUACUAACUCAACCAUAUGGUAACAAUUGGCUUACGAAGUGAGUAUAGGGGCCAAAGAGCUUACAUGCGACAGGGAUGUCACCGUGACAGUAUCUCAAACUUAUCACAUAUUGUCAUGUCAAAAAAUUAAAACACAUGACAAUGAGUGAUUGUCGUGAGAUAACGUCACAGGAGUAUCCUCAGUAUAAGUAAGUUUUCUCCUUUUGGAGAUUAGUCUGUGACUAAGUCCCAACUGGUAGGGGAGCUUCAUGGCAACUUCAUCCAAGUGUUUUGAUCGGGUGAGCACAGAUAGACCCAACCACCACAAGUAAGGUUGGGGAGUUAGGUCCAUGGAAUAAUUCGUAUACGUCUAGUCGGAUUCAGUGUGAAUGAAGGAUGGAUAUCCUACUUAUUCCGAUCUUUCACAUGGCGUUUAUUAGUGAGAUGAUGUGUCAACAAACUUCAUCAAUACUUGAUUUUAUUCUUGAUUUAAAUAGAAUGUGAACCUAUUCAAUGAGCCACGCCCACAUUUAUAAUCUUUGGUGAUGAAACUUCACUUCGAGCACAGAAACGUGUAAAUACUUAUUUUAAGUGUUAGUGCUAAACAUAAUCAAUCAAGUGCCGUCAUUAGAUAGAUCUUGGACACAAAAAUCUGCCCACGUUCAUUCACACAAUUUUUUAUUUUUUAUUUUUUAUUUUUUAUUUUUUAUUAAAAAGGGGGCAAAGAGCAUGCACAUUAAUCUUCAUUGACACAUGAUCAUGACAUUUUAAUUUUCAUAACAAAAACGUUUUCGUAACAAAUAUUUUUUCUCUUCCCAAAUCAUAGAUUUAGAGGGUCCCC